RNAcentral lists this ribosomal RNA (252 nucleotides) under uncultured bacterium. RNAcentral describes it as "partial 16S ribosomal RNA". It matches the Rfam family "Bacterial small subunit ribosomal RNA", at positions 524 to 776 of the family's 1533-position model. The record is from RNAcentral.
UACGGGGGGGCAAGCGUUGUUCGGAAUUACUGGGCGUAAAGGGCUCGUAGGCGGCCAACUAAGUCGGAUGUGAAAUCCCCAGGCUUAACCUGGGAACUGCAUCCGAUACUGGAUGGCUUGAAUCCGGGAGAGGGAUGCAGAAUUCCAGGUGUAGCGGUGAAAUGCGUAGAUAUCUGGAGGAAUACCGGUGGCGAAGGCGGCAUCCUGGACCGAUACUGACGCUGAGGAGCGAAAGCCAGGGGAGCAAACGGG